ACUGAGUGGCGGACGGGUGAGUAACGCGUGGGUAACCUGCCCUGUACAGGGGGACAACAGUUAGAAAUGACUGCUAAUACCGCAUAAGCGCACAGGACCGCAUGGUCCGGUGUGAAAAACUCCGGUGGUACAGGAUGGACCUGCGUCUGAUUAGGUAGUUGGCGGGGUAACGGCCCACCAAGCCGACGAUCAGUAGCCGACCUGAGAGGGUGACCGGCCACAUUGGGACUGAGACACGGCCCAAACUCCUACGGAAGGCAGCAG
RNAcentral lists this ribosomal RNA (264 nucleotides) under uncultured bacterium. RNAcentral's name for it is "partial 16S ribosomal RNA". It matches the Rfam family "Bacterial small subunit ribosomal RNA", at positions 90 to 354 of the family's 1533-position model. The record is from RNAcentral.